UCCAACUGCUCCCGUCUGCUCUCUCUCUUCUUUCUAACUACUGGUGCCAUUGUUCGGCCGGCGAUGGUUGCUCCUGAUCCUGUUCGUUCUGGACGGCGCCGUCGGGGUCGUCCUCCUGGGAUUCGGGCAGCCGUUAUUGCCCGUGUACGCCGUGCCGGCAUGCCUAUUUCUUCUGCGGAUUCCUCGUCGGUGACGGCAGGCGCUGCUCUGCGUGGUCGGUUGGCUGGGGUCGGUUCAGGACGGCGUUCCCGCUCCGCGGCGGCUCGACGGCCGCUUAGUUCUCGCCGGGCUGGCUGCCAGCGUUCUGACUCGCCGGCGACGUGCUCAGCUCUACACGGAGAUAACCACGUCUGCUUGGCGGUGGCUCUCCACGCCAGCGCCCGUUCCUUCUUCACCCGACGACGAUGGCAGCGCCGUGAUCGCAUAGCCUGCGGCCUUCCACAGCGAGCGGCGCGCCGAUCACGCUCGAGGUCGCCCUGGUAACCGACUUAUCGCCAACGACGUCGAUGAUUGCGGCGAGCUCGCCCACGGAGGGCACCCAGUGCAGCCCUACACCGUUCCACGGUCGUGGAGCGACGGCGUCUGCACCAGAGCAGCCCAGAAUACUGCUGCUCCUCUAAGUCGCAGUUCCAGUUUCUCAGAGGGGCGCCACAGCGGGGGGAGACGUCGACGACGCGGCAUGCGGCGCAGAGCAGGGGGGGUGCCGCCAGCGGAAGGAGACCGUGUUGCCGUUGUGGAUAUGGCGGUCGCACGGCAAGCAGAGCCCCACUGUUUCCGCCCGGAAGUAUACCACGGCCAGCGCGACGGAGCAUUAGCACUCCGUUGUGGGCACCAUGUCGGCGGCAACCCCUGGCACCAUGCAUGUAUUACUCCACGGAGGGAGUAUGUAAUAGGAGUAGUUUUUAUAGUAAACAGAUGAAGAAUGGCAUGUGCAUGUGGUUCUUGGCUAGAUGCCACUACACGGAGGAUGCGGUGAUCCUGUAUUUUCAUGCAGGUUCAUUGCACUCUACGCGUGCGGCAGUUGCGACACCUCGCAUCUCGAUAUAUGAAUAGACCAUGCAUGACCGGGUGUAUACAUCCGUUAGUUCAACUAGCUAGCUAGCAAGGAAAAAGGCAGAACCAAGAAAGAGAUCGCAUGCAAGCCUUUGUUCAGGUGUGUCUGUAGCUCGGUGCUUAGCACUUUUGGCUUUUCUAUAUACGGUGCAGCCGGUUUCGA
This is a long non-coding RNA of Aegilops tauschii subsp. strangulata, 1216 nucleotides long. RefSeq lists it as uncharacterized. NCBI's taxonomy places the organism in Eukaryota, Viridiplantae, Streptophyta, Magnoliopsida, Poales, Poaceae. The record is from RefSeq and is a predicted model, not a curated record.